AGUAACGCGUGGGUAACCUGCCUUGUACUGGGGGACAACAGUUAGAAAUGACUGCUAAUACCGCAUAAGCGCACGGCAUCGCAUGAUGCAGUGUGAAAAACUCCGGUGGUGUGAGAUGGAUCCGCGUCUGAUUAGGUAGUUGGUGGGGUAACGGCCCACCAAGCCGACGAUCAGUAGCCGACCUGAGAGGGUGACCGGCCACAUUGGGACUGAGACACGGCCCAA
Molecule: ribosomal RNA, 225 nt
Filed under: uncultured bacterium
Lineage: Bacteria
Description: partial 16S ribosomal RNA
Rfam family: Bacterial small subunit ribosomal RNA
Source: RNAcentral